This 558-nucleotide ribosomal RNA is filed under the name Bifidobacterium pseudocatenulatum. Its description in RNAcentral is "bacterial SSU rRNA". It matches the Rfam family "Bacterial small subunit ribosomal RNA", at positions 143 to 713 of the family's 1533-position model. The record is from RNAcentral. Lineage: Bacteria; Bacillati; Actinomycetota; Actinomycetes; Bifidobacteriales; Bifidobacteriaceae.
UUUUCUCCUGGAAACGGGUGGUAAUGCCGGAUGCUCCGACUCCUCGCAUGGGGUGUCGGGAAAGAUUUCAUCGGUAUGGGAUGGGGUCGCGUCCUAUCAGGUAGUCGGCGGGGUAACGGCCCACCGAGCCUACGACGGGUAGCCGGCCUGAGAGGGCGACCGGCCACAUUGGGACUGAGAUACGGCCCAGACUCCUACGGGAGGCAGCAGUGGGGAAUAUUGCACAAUGGGCGCAAGCCUGAUGCAGCGACGCCGCGUGCGGGAUGACGGCCUUCGGGUUGUAAACCGCUUUUGAUCGGGAGCAAGCCUUCGGGUGAGUGUACCUUUCGAAUAAGCACCGGCUAACUACGUGCCAGCAGCCGCGGUAAUACGUAGGGUGCAAGCGUUAUCCGGAAUUAUUGGGCGUAAAGGGCUCGUAGGCGGUUCGUCGCGUCCGGUGUGAAAGUCCAUCGCUUAACGGUGGAUCUGCGCCGGGUACGGGCGGGCUGGAGUGCGGUAGGGGAGACUGGAAUUCCCGGUGUAACGGUGGAAUGUGUAGAUAUCGGGAAGAACACCAAA